GACGAACGCUGGCGGCGUGCCUAAUACAUGCAAGUCGAACGCAUUUUCUUUCACCGUAGCUUGCUACACCGAAAGAAAAUGAGUGGCGAACGGGUGAGUAACACGUGGGUAACCUGCCCAUCAGCGGGGGAUAACACUUGGAAACAGGUGCUAAUACCGCAUAAUUCCAUUUACUGCAUGGUAGAUGGAUGAAAGGCGCUUUUGCGUCACUGAUGGAUGGACCCGCGGUGCAUUAGCUAGUUGGUGGGGUAACGGCCUACCAAGGCUGCGAUGCAUAGCCGACCUGAGAGGGUGAUCGGCCAAACUGGGACUGAGACACGGCCCAGACUCCUACGGGAGGCAGCAGUAGGGAAUCUUCGGCAAUGGACGCAAGUCUGACCGAGCAACGCCGCGUGAGUGAAGAAGGGUUUCGGAUCGUAAAACUCUGUUGUUAGAAAAGAACAAGGAUGAGAGUGGAAAGUUCAUCCCUUGACGGUAUCUAACCAGAAAGCCACGGCUAACUACGUG
RNAcentral lists this ribosomal RNA (507 nucleotides) under uncultured bacterium. RNAcentral describes it as "partial 16S ribosomal RNA". It matches the Rfam family "Bacterial small subunit ribosomal RNA", at positions 28 to 507 of the family's 1533-position model. The record is from RNAcentral.